This 60-nucleotide transfer RNA is filed under the name Trialeurodes vaporariorum (greenhouse whitefly). RNAcentral describes it as "tRNA-His". The record is from RNAcentral. Lineage: Eukaryota; Metazoa; Arthropoda; Insecta; Hemiptera; Aleyrodidae.
AUUUAAAUAGUUUAUAUAAAACAUUAGACUGUGAAACUAAAGAAAAGAAGUUUUUAAAUU